AGAGUUUGAUCAUGGCUCAGGAUGAACGCUGGCGGCGUGCCUAACACAUGCAAGUCGAGCGAAGCACUUUGAUUGGAUUCUUCGGAUGAAGAUGAUUGUGACUGAGCGGCGGACGGGUGAGUAACGCGUGGGCAACCUGCCUUACACAGGGGGAUAACAGUUAGAAAUGACUGCUAAUACCGCAUAAGACCGCGGAACCGCAUGGUUCUGAGGUAAAAACUCCGGUGGUGUAAGAUGGGCCCGCGUCUGAUUAGGUAGUUGGUGAGGUAACGGCUCACCAAGCCGACGAUCAGUAGCCGACCUGAGAGGGUGACCGGCCACAUUGGGACUGAGACACGGCCCAGACUCCUACGGGAGGCAGCAGUGGGGAAUAUUGCACAAUGGGGGAAACCCUGAUGCAGCGACGCCGCGUGAGCGAUGAAGUAUUUCGGUAUGUAAAGCUCUAUCAGCAGGGAAGAAAAUGACGGUACCUGACUAAGAAGCCCCGGCUAACUACGUGCCAGCAGCCGCGGUAAUACGUAGGGGGCAAGCGUUAUCCGGAUUUACUGGGUGUAAAGGGAGCGU
Molecule: ribosomal RNA, 564 nt
Filed under: uncultured bacterium
Lineage: Bacteria
Description: bacterial SSU rRNA
Rfam family: Bacterial small subunit ribosomal RNA
Source: RNAcentral